UUGAGACGUGCUAUGGGAAACCUGUGGGGAGUUCAGAAGCAGAACAAAGUCUGUUCACAACAUCUAUAGAAUGUCUAUCGCUAUGUGCACAAAGAACAUAAAAAAGGGGCAUACCCAGUACAAGAACAUCAAAAUAAUAAUAUAAAAAAAUCAGUACUAGAUGUAGGGCAAGAAAAAUGAUGCCAAAACAACAACCAUGAUGACAUAACAUGCUAGAGAGAAAAGAACAAACAUACCUUGCAAUGUCAGGAGACUUCAUAAGCUUCGAAAGAGCUUCGACGACAACGAGUGAUUGUGCUCGGCAAGAACCUGAAACCACAUAAGUUUCAUGAGUCGAUUGAAAUCAACUUUGAGAACCUGCAUGCUCUGGAAGUUUGAAAGCAGUACCUUUUGGAACUUUCUAGCCUCACAGAUCACUUAAGUUGUUCUAAGAUGAGUCGGUUGAUACCAUAAAACUCAAACCACAUUGCCAGAAGAGCACAAAUCAGUAACUAUGACAAAUCCCUCUAAGGAUUCCAAGGGCAUGCUACACAUCUCAAAACUGCCAAUCUCCACUUGAACUCCUCGGCAUAUGAAAUUAUAGAACCACAUAGUUACAUGUCCUACCAUAGUUCAGUUUACUAGGGAAAAUUAUGGAACAGAAGGUACAGUUUGUGCAUCCCAAGAACAUAACUAUACUUUAAUAGCAAGAUACGCUGUUACAUGUAGCCCAUUUCUUCGCCUCACCAAAUUCAUGAGCAUCUUAGCCAAGUUUGGUCCAAUGUCUGAACUAUCUCCAAAUUCUUCAAUCUCCU
Molecule: long non-coding RNA, 794 nt
Filed under: Triticum aestivum (bread wheat)
Lineage: Eukaryota; Viridiplantae; Streptophyta; Magnoliopsida; Poales; Poaceae
Description: long non-coding RNA (TAES_LNC013712)
Source: RNAcentral